UCCGGUUUUUCACCGGCAGUCCCCCUAGAGUGCCCAACUAAAUGAUGGCAACUAAGGGCGAGGGUUGCGCUCGUUGCGGGACUUAACCCAACACCUCACGGCACGAGCUGACGACAGCCAUGCAGCACCUGUGCUCGCUCCCCUUUCAGGGUCAUCACCGUUUCCGGUUCUUACCACGAGCAUGUCAAGCCUGGGUAAGGUUUUUCGCGUUGCGUCGAAUUGAACCACAUGCACCACCGCUUGUGCGGGCCCCCGUCAAUUCCUUUGAGUUUCAAUCUUGCGACCGUACUCCCCAGGCGGCAUAUUUAACGCGUUAGCUCCGGCACGGACCAAAUGAAUGGCCCACACCAAAUAUGCAUCGUUUAGGGCGUGGACUAC
This 378-nucleotide unclassified non-coding RNA is filed under the name uncultured bacterium. RNAcentral describes it as "contains 16S-23S intergenic spacer region". The record is from RNAcentral.